UUUUUUAAUCUUAUUUUGUGAUGUUGCACAGAUCCCUGUGAGAAAAAUAUUCAGCAUUGUUUCUCUCGUAUUUAUGAUUAGAAGCCUAAAGAAGAUGGCAUCCAGCAAGCCAUGGACUGCACAUGGAGGAAGACUUCUUUGGCGUGUGUGAAAAGGCUGUUUCACGGCCAAGGAGCUAUAGAGCUCCUUUCCACAUCUGUGGCAUGCAAAGGAAAGCCCGGUAUUACAGUGCAGAGCCCAAAAUGAAGGCUGGGAUCUGCAGUUGUUCCUUCCCCCGCCUGGCACAAGGCUCCUGUGGUUCAACGGCUGUUUUACCUGCAGAAGAGAAAUUCAGUGCAUCCUACUAGGAUGAAUUCAAGCCUAAACAACCCUGUUCCUGAAUUUCUUUGUCUACAUCAUGCUCUGUUCACUGCUUCGCAGAAGAUUUAAUAUCGCACAGAAGAGAGAAAUGAAAUCUGUAUUUAAAUGGCUGUGGAACAUUGUGCAUUUAAAGUGCACAGCAAGUCACUCCCUAAAGCACUCCAUAUGAUUUAUUUCCAGUGAUGCACAGCACAGUCCCUCCUGGAGGUAGACAAGCAAACCCUGCCUUCCGGAACUAGAGGUUUCUCUCUUUGGGACACCAGCAUCUCGUAUGUCAGCCUAGGAGAUGCAAAGACUAUAAGCUCACAGCAUGGGAGAAUGAGAUUUUGCUGUUUCUUGCAAAUGAAAACAGCCCAAAGUCUGGAACUGCACAAAGUUGGGCUGUUGCUUCCUGCAGAGGUGAUCCUGGAUCUCUGGAACCCCCCAGAACGUGGAGGCACAAUCGCAAAGCAGCAGAAGAAAUAGACAGCAAUAUAAACACCGCUCACGCUUUGCUUCUGUGCUGCUCCUCUUCGCCAGAUGUGUGCAGGUUGGGUUUUUGCAUUUUGGUUGUCUUCCUGGG
Molecule: long non-coding RNA, 922 nt
Filed under: Gallus gallus (chicken)
Lineage: Eukaryota; Metazoa; Chordata; Aves; Galliformes; Phasianidae
Source: RNAcentral